UUCAUUUCAUAAAAAGUGCACUCCAUAAAGUGCCAGAAUAGGACUUUCCUCAGGUCAGCAUGUUGAGACUGAAACUUCGACACUUUGAAUUACUACAAGCACUUUAUGGAGUGCACUUUUUAUGAAAUGAA
Pelobates cultripes (western spadefoot toad) is the source of this 131-nucleotide non-coding RNA. NCBI's taxonomy places the organism in Eukaryota, Metazoa, Chordata, Amphibia, Anura, Pelobatidae. The record is from the annotation of a GenBank genome assembly.